Molecule: ribosomal RNA, 492 nt
Filed under: uncultured bacterium
Lineage: Bacteria
Description: partial 16S ribosomal RNA
Rfam family: Bacterial small subunit ribosomal RNA
Source: RNAcentral
AGUGAACGCUGGCGGUAGGCCUAACACAUGCAAGUCGAACGGCAGCACAGUAAUAGCUUGCUCUUACGGGUGGCGAGUGGCGGACGGGUGAGGAAUACAUCGGAAUCUACUUUUUCGUGGGGGAUAACGUAGGGAAACUUACGCGAAUACCGCAUACGACCUACGGUUGAAAGCAGGGGAUCUUCUGACCUUGCGCGAUUGAAUGAGCCGAUGUCGGAUUAGCUAGUUGGCGGGGUAAAGGCCCACCAAGGCGACGAUCCGUAGCUGGUCUGAGAGGAUGAUCAGCCACACUGGAACUGAGACACGGUCCAGACUCCUACGGGAGGCAGCAGUGGGGAAUAUUGGACAAUGGGCGAAAGCCUGAUCCAGCCAUACCGCGUGGGUGAAGAAGGCCUUCGGGUUGUAAAGCCCUUUUGUUGGGAAAGAAAAGCAGCAGGUUAAUACCCCGCUGUUCUGACGGUACCCAAAGAAUAAGCGCCGGCUAACUUCGUG